Molecule: unclassified non-coding RNA, 684 nt
Filed under: Scolecobasidium musae
Lineage: Eukaryota; Fungi; Ascomycota; Dothideomycetes; Venturiales; Sympoventuriaceae
Description: Ochroconis musae sequence contains 18S rRNA gene, ITS1, 5.8S rRNA gene, ITS2, 28S rRNA gene
Rfam family: 5.8S ribosomal RNA (bases 296-448)
Source: RNAcentral
GAUCAUUACUGAGUGGCUGUAUUCGUGCUUCUCUUCGGAGACGCGAAGCUACCCGACCUGAUGUCAUUUUAUCCGAGGGCGCGCCCGCUUGAGAAGACAGCGGUUUGACGUUGUGGUGUUACCCGGACGAGGCGCUUGUCUCGUAAGGGGAAGCUUCCGGGUCGGGCCGUGGCGCGUUCCUUGGCACAACUUUCCGCGGAAGUGGUAGGCGUUGACUUGCCCGCCGCGGGCCAUACUUUUCACAACUCUCGAAGAAAACCUGAAGUCUGAAUACCAAAACAAAAACGAAAAGCAAAACUUUCAACAACGGAUCUCUUGGCUCUGGCAACGAUGAAGAACGCAGCGAAACGCGAAAGGUAAUGCGAAUUGCAGAAUCAGUGAGUCAUCGAAUCUUUGAACGCACAUUGCGCCUCUCGGUAUUCCGGGAGGCACGCCUGUUCGAGCGCCAUUACAAACUCCAAGCGUGGCUUGAUGUUGGGCGAUGUCUUUUUGCGAGAGCGGGAGACACGCCUGGAACGCGUUGGCGCCGCCGCCGGACCACGAGCGUAGCAAGACGAGAGUCAAUCGCAUCGAUUUGGUUUCCGACGGAGGUCCGCCUUGUGACUGCACUUUCGAGUGUAGUUGAAAAACUUCUCAAGUUUGGCCUCGGAUCAGGCGGGGAUACCCGCUGAACUUAAGCAUAUC